Non-coding RNA from Trichobilharzia regenti, 45 nucleotides. Lineage: Eukaryota; Metazoa; Platyhelminthes; Trematoda; Strigeidida; Schistosomatidae. The record is from Rfam.
AUCCUGAUGAGGAGUCCCAAAUAGGACGAAAUGAGCAUCCUGGAU